This 28-nucleotide non-coding RNA is filed under the name Rattus norvegicus (Norway rat). The record is from RNAcentral. Lineage: Eukaryota; Metazoa; Chordata; Mammalia; Rodentia; Muridae.
UGAUAGGUCCUGUUGAUCUACCUCCAAC